AUGGAUCCAGCAGAAGUUUUGAAUGUCAGAUUCCACUUUGGGGGCGAGUUCAUACGGAUUGGUCCAUCGCUUGAUUAUGUGGGUGGAGAGACUAGAAUGUCGGAGAUUGAGCGGGACAAGCUCUCGUUGCCGGAGCUGAAAGGCUUUUUAGGAGAUCAUAUGAUAGUGAAGGAGAGCAUGAAGUUCCAUUUUUUGUUGCCUGGCAGAGAGUUGAUAAAUGGAUUGCUUUUCUUAUUUGAUGAUGCUGGUUGCAUGAAGAUGUCUGACUGCAUUACAGAUGGAGGGGUUGCUGAAGUAUAUGUGGAGUAUAAUGGUGAGGAGGAUGAACCAGAGGAAGCAGAUAGUGGCUCUGAUUUUGAAGGAGAUGAGCUUGAGGACCUAAUGUGCAUUGGCAGUGAAGAAGAGCCUGAUUUAGUUAUCACUGCAGGAGAUGAGCAUGACAAUGGAAAUGAACAGAGUGGUGGUGCAAGAGGAGAGAUACUUGAACAUAUAGUUGUUCCUAACAAAGAUGGUGUGAUCACACAAGUGAUAAGCAGUCCUUUGAAGAAAAAUGUGAGAAGUGGUUGUGCCAGUCAGUGUUCUCAAGUUGUUAAUCCAACUCAAGCCUAUGAAACAGCAAAUGAUCUGUCCCAAGUUUCUGAAGUUGCACAAAAUGCUGCAGUAGUUGCACGGCAUGCUGCUGUAGUUCCACAAAAUGCUACUACAGUUUCUGAAAAUGCUGCAGUAGUUUCUGAAAAUACUGCAGAAGUUGGACAAGAUGUUGCAGAUUCAUCUGACUCAGAGGACAUUGAGUAUGUGCCACAUACAGAUGACAGUGGGGAAGAAUCAGAGGUAAUUGAGCUGAGAAAGCAUGCAAGAAAAUUUAGGAAAAAGAUGAGAGAUUCCAAGAGGUGGGCUGAUACAGAUUCAACUGGGGCAGUGCCUAUUGAGCUGGUCGCAAAUGUGGAGGAGACUGUACAUGAUAUGGAAUUUGAAUCAUCUGAUGAGGACUACUCAUAUGAUGAAGAUGAAGAUGGGAACAUGGUCAGGAGGAAGAGCAAGUAUAUUAGGUUUAACCCAGAAUCUGACAUUCCACACUUUAGUCUAGGAAUGGUUUUUAGAAGUAAGAAGCAAUUAACCAAAGCUAUAAAGAGGUAUGGACUUGCUACCAAAAGGAGCAUUUCUUUCUUAAAAUCUGAGGAGCAUAGAGUUAGAGCAAAGUGUGAUUGGCCUGGGUGUCCAUGGUUGUUGUAUGCAGCAAAAACAAGUAGGUGUCAUGCGCGUCGCCGUUCAACCUACACUACACAGAAGUCCAGUGUACCGACGACCCCGAUCUGA
Molecule: ribosomal RNA, 1317 nt
Filed under: Triticum aestivum (bread wheat)
Lineage: Eukaryota; Viridiplantae; Streptophyta; Magnoliopsida; Poales; Poaceae
Description: partial small subunit ribosomal RNA
Source: RNAcentral